This 253-nucleotide ribosomal RNA is filed under the name uncultured bacterium. Its description in RNAcentral is "partial 16S ribosomal RNA". It matches the Rfam family "Bacterial small subunit ribosomal RNA", at positions 524 to 776 of the family's 1533-position model. The record is from RNAcentral.
UACAGAGGUCUCAAGCGUUGUUCGGAUUCAUUGGGCGUAAAGGGUUCGUAGGCGGCGCGGUAAGUCGGGUGUGAAAUCUCGGAGCUUAACUCCGAAACUGCAUUCGAUACUGCCGUGCUUGAGGACUGGAGAGGAGACUGGAAUUUACGGUGUAGCGGUGAAAUGCGUAGAUAUCGUAAGGAAGACCAGUGGCGAAGGCGGGUCUCUGGACAGUUCCUGACGCUGAGGCACGAAGGUCAGGGGAGCAAACGGG